AUGAAGUAUGGAGAUGUCAUGGGUGUAGAGUAUGGCUGCCGGAGAAGCCGGGAAGGUCGACUGGAGGAGAAGGAGCACGGGGCUACGGUGAUCUGCUGUGGGGGUUGCACUAGGAUUUGCGAGGGGAGAAGGAGGGGACAUCUGGGAAGGUACAACAUGAAGCAUGGCAUGACGGCUUCCAAGGUGCCCAAGCCAUGGAGCUCUCCAAGAAGCUUCUCUCUUUCGCCGGCGCCAUGGCCGUUCGCGGGGGCCGUGUGCUCUAUGUCGGCUCCUUCGACUCCCUCAAGGAUUCAUGGACUCCCAUGUCCACCUAGUGGCCCGCAGCUUGCUGAACUUAUCCCUGAGAAUUCUCCAUUAGGAAAGCCACAUGAUGAGAUAAGAGUUAUGCCAUUGUUCUUCAUUUCAGCAAAAUUUGAGUAUGAAUGUGUUGUCAAAAGGCAAACUGUUUCUCAUAUAGGCAAUGAUGAUGAAGUGCCAAUAUCAAGAAGAAAGCGACCUGUCCGAGAGAGACAUAUGGAUAAUUCAAGAACAGACAUAGAUGAUCGGAUGGAGUAUGCAUAUCUGCCAAGUAAGUCCUCUUCGGACCCUUCCACCUCGCUGGCCUCACCAUUGGAGACUCGACACAAGAACCGGCGCCGCCACUGUGUGUCUGCUGGUGACGCUCACACAAGAAUCCAGAGGCAGAACCUUGGUCCUCUCCCCGCGAACACCAGCUCUAUGAUGAUGCGGCCGCGCCCUGUGGGCGGCAUGACUGACACCACCGUCCAUGCCAUGUUUUGGCUGAUCCCCCAAGGCUCCUUGCCGAUGUCCAACCAGCACCGCGCAACCAAUGGUCCUGCCGCCAUGACGAUGCCCACCUAUGUGCUGGUCUAG
Molecule: ribosomal RNA, 873 nt
Filed under: Triticum aestivum (bread wheat)
Lineage: Eukaryota; Viridiplantae; Streptophyta; Magnoliopsida; Poales; Poaceae
Description: partial small subunit ribosomal RNA
Source: RNAcentral